GCGGAUGUGGCGGAACUGGCAGACGCGCAUGAUUCAGGUUCAUGUGCCAGUAAUGGCGUGGAGGUUCAAGUCCUCUCAUCCGCACCA
This 87-nucleotide transfer RNA is filed under the name Acidobacteriaceae bacterium. RNAcentral's name for it is "tRNA-Leu". It matches the Rfam family "tRNA". From Rfam's summary of the family: Transfer RNA (tRNA) molecules are approximately 80 nucleotides in length. Their secondary structure includes four short double-helical elements and three loops (D, anti-codon, and T loops). The record is from RNAcentral. Lineage: Bacteria; Pseudomonadati; Acidobacteriota; Terriglobia; Terriglobales; Acidobacteriaceae.